This 1813-nucleotide long non-coding RNA is filed under the name Ananas comosus (pineapple). RNAcentral describes it as "long non-coding RNA (ACOM_LNC032201)". The record is from RNAcentral. Lineage: Eukaryota; Viridiplantae; Streptophyta; Magnoliopsida; Poales; Bromeliaceae.
UGGAUUUCUAAAAAUUUGAACCCGAGCCCGGCUCCAAACCCGAGAUCUGAAUCCGACGAAUUUUAAAAAUUCAUAUCCAAAUUCGAAUCCGACCAAAAAUUUGAAACUCGAAUCCGAAUCCGAAAAUUUAAACCCGAAACAAUUAUUUUUUUUUCAAUAUUUCAAAAUAUAAUAUAUUAAAUCUAAAUUUUUAAAAUAUAAAUUCAAAUAUAACAUCAAAUAUAUAUAUAUAUAUAUAUACUAGUUGAAUGUACGUGCAAAUGCACGUAACAAUUAUUAUAAUUUAUUUCAAAUUAAUAUAAAUUUGUACAUUAUAUAUAUCCAAAAUUUUACAAUAAAAAUUAUAUUUAUAAAUUAAUAUAUUAUAUUUUAUUAGAAAAUAUUUACAAUAUCCUAUAAUGUUCUUUUUUUUAUAUACAUCAAAUAUUUUUAUAUACUUUUUUAUUUCAGAUGAAUCAACUUUAAAUAUGUAUUUUAAACUAAAAGCAUUAAAAUUUAAUUCACAUUUACUUUAAAAUUUAAAAUUUAAUUUUGAUCCACUGUAAUAAAAAAAUUAAUUGUUAAUUCAAAUUUGAUACAAAUUAAAUUUAAUUCAUAAUUUAAACUCAAAUUUUAAUUUUAAUGUAAAAUAGAUGAAUAAAUAUUUGAGAUAUUUUUAAUUUUGAUCAUAACCGUUUGUUUUUAUUUGAGAUAUUUUUUAACAAAUUGAUUAUAAUCGUCCCUAGAAUUAAAUUUAUAAAUGGAUAGGAAUGAUGCUUUUUAGGGCUUGUUUGGUUCAUCCAUUUUGGGUAUGGAAUCGGAAUCGGUUUGAUCAAAUUCGGAUAAUUUUGUUUGGUUCGCAUAAAUCGGUUUGGGAUUCCUAUUCCGGACUGGAAUGGGAAUGGCCCAUUAGCCUUCAACUUGUUUCCGGUCUUCUAGCCCGGAUUGAAAUUUCAUUUCGGAAGCCCACUAAGUCCUCGAAGCCCAUGUGACCAUCUCACCCUCCUUCUCUUCACCCAUUUCUCAUCAAAAAAAAAAAAAAAACCUAUCCUCUCUCAAAACUCUAUCCCUAAUCCACAUGAAUAAAAGUUUUUAAAAAUAAAUUUGAUAUUUUUUUUGAAAAACUUAUUAGAGAAUAGUAUUAUAUUUUUCAUAAAUUUUAAAUAAUAUAAAUUUAUAUUUGAGAGUAAAAUUAGUAUUAUAGUAUCCUAUAAUUUUUUUAGUUUAUACGAAUCAAAUAAUGAAAUGUGAAUAACUCAUUCCAAUUCCGAAUCCACAAAUAAACCAAACAUCUUGGGGAAGUGGGUCAUUCCAAUUACCAUUCCAAUUCAUUCUCAUUCCAUUAUCCAUUCCAAUUCCACCCUUGAAUCAAACAAGCCUUAUAGAUGAUUAUAACGGUUUUUAUUUGAGAUAUUUUUUAAGGAAUAGAUAUUAAUAGAUGUAGAGAUUUAAUAGAUUGAUCAUAACUGUUCAUUUUAUUUGAGAUAUUUUUAACAAAUUAAUCAUAACCAUUGUAGAGAAUAUUAUUUUAUUCUUUUUUAGAUUCCGUCUGUCAUUGUCGGAAUUCCUAUACGCUUUUAUAUAUAGUAUAUAUAUAUAUAUAUAUAUAUAUAUAUAUAUAUAAAAUACAAAAUAAAUUCGGGUUCGGAUCGAAUUCGGGUUGGGUUCGGAUACAAUCAAAUUCCAUAUCUAAAUUCAUAUCGGUCGAGUUUUUAUAUUUUAUAUCCAUAUCUAAAUUCAUAUCCAUAUACGUCGAAUAUAUUCAUUUUAUUCGGAUUCGAAUUAGGAUAAAAUUUUGAAUAUUCAUAUCUAUUGACAUUUUAAUGUAAACCCU